AUUGAACGCUGGCGGCAGGCUUAACACAUGCAAGUCGAGCGGGUGAGGUUGCUUCGGUAACUGAGCUAGCGGCGGACGGGCGAGUAAUGCUUAGGAAUCUGCCUAUUAGUGGGGGACAACAUUCCGAAAGGAAUGCUAAUACAGCAUACGCCCUACGGGGGAAAGCAGGGGAUCUUCGGACCGUGCGCUAAUAGAUGAGCCUAAGUCAGCUUAGCUAGUUGGUGGGGUAAAGGCCUACCAAGGCGACGAUCUGUAGCGGGGCAGAGAGGCUGAUCCGCCACACUGCGACUGAGACACGGCCCAGACUCCUCCGGGAGGUAGCAGUGGGGAAUAUUGGACAAUGGGCGCAAGCCUGAUCCAGCCAUGCCGCGUGUGUGAAGAAGGCCUUUUGGUUGUAAAGCACUUUAAGCGAGGAUGGGGCUACUUGGAUUAAUACUCUAGGAUAGUGGACGUUACUCGCAGAAUAAGCACCGGCUAACUCUGUGCCAGCCGCCGCCGUAA
RNAcentral lists this ribosomal RNA (501 nucleotides) under uncultured bacterium. RNAcentral's name for it is "partial 16S ribosomal RNA". It matches the Rfam family "Bacterial small subunit ribosomal RNA", at positions 30 to 523 of the family's 1533-position model. The record is from RNAcentral.